RNAcentral lists this transfer RNA (74 nucleotides) under Planctomycetaceae bacterium. RNAcentral's name for it is "tRNA-Gln". It matches the Rfam family "tRNA". From Rfam's summary of the family: Transfer RNA (tRNA) molecules are approximately 80 nucleotides in length. Their secondary structure includes four short double-helical elements and three loops (D, anti-codon, and T loops). The record is from RNAcentral. Lineage: Bacteria; Pseudomonadati; Planctomycetota; Planctomycetia; Planctomycetales; Planctomycetaceae. RNAcentral also lists the same sequence under 1 other name.
UGCCCCCUCGUCUAAUGGCAGGACAGCAGUUUCUGGCACUGCAUGUCGGGGUUCGAAUCCCUGGGGGGCAACCA